This 299-nucleotide ribosomal RNA is filed under the name Ehrlichia canis. RNAcentral's name for it is "partial 16S ribosomal RNA". It matches the Rfam family "Bacterial small subunit ribosomal RNA", at positions 84 to 400 of the family's 1533-position model. Lineage: Bacteria; Pseudomonadati; Pseudomonadota; Alphaproteobacteria; Rickettsiales; Anaplasmataceae. The record is from RNAcentral.
GGAAAUUGUUAGUGGCAGACGGGUGAGUAAUGCGUAGGAAUCUACCUAGUAGUACGGAAUAGCCAUUAGAAAUGGUGGGUAAUACUGUAUAAUCCCCGAGGGGGAAAGAUUUAUCGCUAUUAGAUGAGCCUACGUUAGAUUAGCUAGUUGGUGAGGUAAUGGCUUACCAAGGCUAUGAUCUAUAGCUGGUCUGAGAGGACGAUCAGCCACACUGGAACUGAGAUACGGUCCAGACUCCUACGGGAGGCAGCAGUGGGGAAUAUUGGACAAUGGGCGAAAGCCUGAUCCAGCUAUGCCGC